UGGGGGAUAUUGCACAAUGGGCGAAAGCCUGAUGCAGCGACGCCGCGUGGGGGAUGAAGGCCUUCGGGUUGUAAACUUCUUUUGCUCUGAACAAGGCAUGCUUUUGGGGUGUGUUGAGUGUAGGGGUUGAUUAGCGCCGGCUAACUACGUGCCAGCAGCCGCGGUAAUACGUAGGGCGCGAGCGUUGUCCGGAAUUAUUGGGCGUAAAGGGCUUGUAGGUGGCUGGUUGCGUCUGUCGUGAAAGCUCAUGGCUUAACUGUGGGUUUGCGGUGGGUACGGGCUGGCUUGAGUUCAGUAGGGGAGGCUGGAAUUCCUGGUGUAGCGGUGGAAUGCGCAGAUAUCAGGAGGAAUACCGGUGGCGAAGGCGGGUCUCUGGGCUGUUACUGACGCUGAGGAGCGAAAGCGUGGGGAGCGAACAGG
This 420-nucleotide ribosomal RNA is filed under the name Fusobacteriota bacterium. RNAcentral's name for it is "Fusobacteria bacterium partial 16S ribosomal RNA". It matches the Rfam family "Bacterial small subunit ribosomal RNA", at positions 355 to 776 of the family's 1533-position model. Lineage: Bacteria; Fusobacteriati; Fusobacteriota. The record is from RNAcentral.